GAUGAAGAACGCAGCGAACGUGCGAAACGUAAUGUGAAUUGCAGAAUUCAGUGAAUCAUCGAAUCUUUGAACGCAUCUUGCGCUCCUUGGUAUUCCGAGGAGCAUGCCUGUUUGAGUGUCGUGAAUACUCUCAACUUCAACCCUUUUUUCGGAAAGGGAGGAAGGUUGGACUUGGGUGUUUGUUGAAGUGCGAGCUUCGACUCAUCCUAAAUGCAUUAGCGAUCUGCCUCGAUCACACACAAAGUGAUAAUUAAAACUAAAGCAUUGUUUAAUGAUCAAGUCGAGACUGCUUCUAACUGUCGCAAGACAAUAACGUGCAUACAUUUGUGCAUGUCAUUUGACCUCAAAUCAGGUAGGACUACCCGCUGAACUUAAGCAUAUCAAUAAGCGGAGG
Molecule: unclassified non-coding RNA, 394 nt
Filed under: soil metagenome
Description: partial contains 5.8S ribosomal RNA, internal transcribed spacer 2, and large subunit ribosomal RNA
Rfam family: 5.8S ribosomal RNA (bases 1-121)
Source: RNAcentral